RNAcentral lists this long non-coding RNA (258 nucleotides) under Daucus carota (carrot). Its description in RNAcentral is "long non-coding RNA (DCAR_LNC003239)". Lineage: Eukaryota; Viridiplantae; Streptophyta; Magnoliopsida; Apiales; Apiaceae. The record is from RNAcentral.
GCAAUUUCGGGUAACGGGUCGUGUUCGUGUUAGCAAUCGGGUCGAUUUCGGGUCAAGCUAAAAUCACUUAAAAUUGAAUAAAACUGAAAAUUGAAGUUACUAGAAAUGAAAUUCUGAUUUCGGGUCAUUUCGGGUCCAUUUCGGGUCGAUCGGGUGAUUUUCGGGUCACUUUCGGGUUUCUGUCUCAGUAAAUCGGGUUUCGGGUUGGGUCGGGUUCGUGUCGGGUUUCGGGUCGUGUCUGAGAUUGCCACCCCUAGG